UAUGUAAAACUCGAUCCUGCCCCUUUAAGGCUGUUGGACCUGGCCGGCAGAUUCCUUCACCAGCCAGCAUUCGUUGGAAAAACAAACAUUUGCCGAAAAGCAACCAGGGCAAAUAUAAAAAUAGUCUGCUGGUCCCCCACCACUGACAAGUAAGCAGGAAUUAUAUCCAAACACAACCUGGAACAGGAGAAGCAGACCUUGAAAUAAGCAGCCGAGAUAAGGUGAGUAGAUUGUUCACUGCAGCUAACGAGGUCCGUCACGAGAAACGAGAAACCAAACAAAUCUCUGGGGCUGAAACUUGGAGGACAACCAGCAAAUAAUCUGCCAAGGACCAGCUGGGAGACAGACGACUUAACAAUAGAGGAAGUUAUUUCUUACAACAUGCAGGAGCACUCGACUGGCCUCCGGGAGCUGCCAAUGCAGUUCAGAGAUGCAAGAUGUAGGCUGUCUCCCUUUGGUGUCUUCCCCCGUUCUCUCACCUCUGGAUGGAAGGGGCUCCCUGAAUCCCAGGGCCAUGAGGACGCCUGAGUCUGGUGUGUCUGUCUGAACUGCAGGGAACUCGGAGUGUGGCUCAAGAGAGACAGCCAGCAGCUGCUACUGCGCCACUUGUCUAAUGCAACCCCUAGCUAGGCAUUCCUCAUCAUUGCCUCUCCCAGCACUUAUCAACUGAAAAUGUGACGUUAGUUGUGCUACAAUAUUAAUGUGUCCCUCCAGAAUGCUCCAUGGCAUAUUCUAUUCCCUUUAUAAGCAAUGGCUCAGAUCCUAAGCCAAGAGGGACUUUUCUGUAACUCGCUGUGUGUUCUGGGGUAGAUGUGAAAAAAAGAAAGACGUCUAGAGUUCAGCAUUUGUCUGGGUAAGCUGUGAUAGCAGCUCAGUCCAUUAACAAAACUUUCACUGCUUAAUCGCUGCCAGGCAAACCACCGUCAAGGCUGGUGGUUUGGCUUGGAGGCAGACAAGGACUGACCAAGCCCAGAGGCAAACUUCUCAGCUGGUGACUGGGGACGGGCAAUCUUAGAGCAGCAACUCAGUCUGGGCCUGAGUGAGGAUUUGCGGAGAGUGAGGAGACACAUCAGAAGCAAAAGCUUAAAAGGCCAAGUGGAACGCUAUUGGUUGCUUGUGUGUCACCUGUUCUCUGCUGAACUGGAUAGCUGCAAUACCACUGUCUGGCCACCCAUAGAGGUGUAGAGAGCAGGGGCAUAGCUCCUUCCUGAUUCCCAGCUUGAGACCCUGUGACUUUAUAACUGGGUUUUAGACCCACCCCUUGGAGAAUUGGCCUCAUACCAAGCAAAACAUGUCCCCACAAGUAGGGAGGGGAGAGAAAUUCAAUUCCGUUAGCAUUUAAAGACGUUAAAGACGUUAAAGACGUUAGCAUUUAAAAACACAGCCUUCCUUCAAAAUUCACACUUAUCUCUAGCACAUCAAAAGGGACAAAAAUAUCCCAGAAUAUUUGUGGUAUGAAAAGUUACAGGAUUCAACAGGAAGUUACAGGAUAUGCACUGGGCUGGAAAUGAGCGGUGUGACCACCCCAAAACUUUUCCAGGCACAACCAGUAUUGAAAGUGAGGGGAGAGAGACUCUGUUUGCCAUCAGGGGAGGCUGUUCCACCUGCCUUGCCCCACCCUCCAGCCCUGGAGGCCUCCAAACACAGCUUCUUUCGGAGGACUUUCUGGCCCUUUGGGUUGGGCUGUGGGGGUUUGGGGGAGAUUUUUGCAUCAGCUUGGGGGUUAGUGUUUAAAUAUUUUUGCAUUGGCUUUGUUGUUGAGCUUUAUGCUCAUUAUGCUUUGAUGUACUGUAUAUAGAUAUAUUUUCUUAAUUUAGUGAUUACUCUUUAUUAUGUAUUGUGUUAUUGCAUUGGAUUAUUUGUGUGAACCGCUUUGAGCACAUGUAUAUUUGUGGAAAAUGCGGUAUAUAAAUAAACCUUAAUAAAUAAUAAUAAUAAUAAUAAAGUCGGAUCACGUAUGACUGCUUUGAUCCCAUCAUGAGCACAAAUCUUCAUGAAUGCCCAUUAAAAAGGACUUCUGCAGGGGCCCUUAUACUGGUGACAUGUUUAGAGUUCCUUUCUCAGUGUGCCUCAAUGCACAAAUAACCUGGAAGUCCCAAGUUCAAAUGUCAUCACCACAAAACUCACCAAGAGGCCUUAGGCAAGCGUUUCUCCAUCACAAUCAGCUCCCCUUUGGCAAUGCUGGCCUACCUCACAGGGUGAAUUACAAAAUAAAUUUUGUGAACCACUUAGGCACUCUAAUGCACUGUAGUAAUAAUGAUAACAAUGCAGUAUUUGUUGAUGCUUUUAUUAAUGUUUUUAAUUAUGUUUUUAUUGGUUUUUAAAUUUUAUCAUGUCUUUGUGUGUUGUAAGCCGCCUUGAUGUACUUCUAUGAAAACUGCAGCUUAUAAAUACUUUAAUAAAUAAAUAAUACUAAA
Rhineura floridana is the source of this 2417-nucleotide long non-coding RNA. RefSeq lists it as uncharacterized. The record is from RefSeq and is a predicted model, not a curated record. Lineage: Eukaryota; Metazoa; Chordata; Lepidosauria; Squamata; Rhineuridae. The transcript has 2 exons.